Molecule: long non-coding RNA, 923 nt
Organism: Papaver somniferum (opium poppy)
Lineage: Eukaryota; Viridiplantae; Streptophyta; Magnoliopsida; Ranunculales; Papaveraceae
Exons: 2
Source: RefSeq, a predicted model, not a curated record
CUUUUUUUUAUCCUCUCUGCAAAUCUUUUACUCAUAACGAUGUUGUUUUUUAUCUGUACAGGAUUAACAAACCCUUUUGUAAACUCUCGAAAGAAGAUUUCUUGAUGCAAAUCAGGGAAGGUACGUUAUAAAGAUAACUGCGAAACCCUAAAGCUAGAUCUACCCUCUACAUAUAAAUAGAGGUUAAAUCCUAACUCAAAAGGUAAGGAUUUGUUAAUCCUUUUCCACACAAUACACCUGUGAAGAAACUUUCUCUGAUUUUAGCAUCAGAGUGUUUUUUGCAGGUACCCCACCAUUCAACAUCAAUCACAUCAGCAAUUUCUUAUGAAGUUGAAUCAGUAGUUGGAGAUCAAUCAAUCGAUAUCAAUCACAAUUUCAUCAGCAUCUUUGGUGGAUCAAAUUUAAGAAGGAGAUUUCAUCCAUCUACACGCAUCUCGAAGAGUGUUGGGAUGAAUAUUUUUGCACCAACAAGUAGCAUGUUUCCUCGCCUAAAAUUAUACUUGGAAUAAUUUGCUCAUUUGUAAAACUUUUUAGCGGCCGUUAAUUGAAAGUCAUAAUCCCCUCAAACAAUUAUUCUUCAAGCACAUUGUACGGAUAAGUUUUUGAUGGGGCAUUUUUUGAUGGGUGCACGGGGAACAAAUAGUAUGUCGACAUAUUUUUUUCCUAAUACGAAAUAGGUAUCUUAAGAAUCUUAAGAAGGCAUAAUUGGAGGAUACUCUCAGAUAUUUCAGGUUAAAUAGGGCUGGAUUUUGGUUAAAAGGGUAGUUUUAAGAGUGAAAAGACCAUAUUGUCCUUUAUCAUAAUAAGAAGAAAAAGAAAACCUAAAUCAUUUUGUAUCCCCAUUCUCUCUUCUUUUCAUAGUGCCGAUUCUUCCUCUUCUUUCCUUUUUUUUUUGUUUCUUCCAUUAAUCAUUGAUUCCAAAA